This 464-nucleotide ribosomal RNA is filed under the name uncultured bacterium. RNAcentral describes it as "partial 16S ribosomal RNA". It matches the Rfam family "Bacterial small subunit ribosomal RNA", at positions 339 to 795 of the family's 1533-position model. The record is from RNAcentral.
CUACGGGGUGCACCAGUGGGGAAUAUUGCACAAUGGGCGCAAGCCUGAUGCAGCCAUGCCGCGUGUAUGAAGAAGGCCUUCGGGUUGUAAAGUACUUUCAGCGGGGAGGAAGGGAGUAAAGUUAAUACCUUUGCUCAUUGACGUUACCCGCAGAAGAAGCACCGGCGAACUCCGUGCCAGCAGCCGCGGUAAUACGGAGGAUGCAAGCGUUAAUCGGAAUUACUGGGCGUAAAGCGCACGCAGGCGGUUUGUUAAGUCAGAUGUGAAAUCCCCGGGCUCAACCUGGGAACUGCAUCUGAUACUGGCAAGCUUGAGUCUCGUAGAGGGGGGUAGAAUUCCAGGUGUAGCGGUGAAAUGCGUAGAGAUCUGGAGGAAUACCGGUGGCGAAGGCGGCCCCCUGGACGAAGACUGACGCUCAGGUGCGAAAGCGUGGGGAGCAAACAGGAUUAGAUACCCUAGUAGUC